GAUGAACGCUAGCGGUAGGCCUAACACAUGCAAGCCGAGCGGCAGAGCUUCAUCGGAUACUUGAUAGCGGCGCACGGUUGCGUAACACGUGUGCAACCUACCUUUAUCUGGGUGAUAGCCUUUCGAAAGGAAGAUUAAUACCCCAUAAUAUAAUUAUUGGCAUCAAUUAUUAUUGAAAACUCCUGUGGCCAUGGAUGGGCACGCGCAAGAUUGGAUAGUUGGUGAGGUGACGGCGCACCAAGUCAACGAUCUUUAGGGGUCCUGAGAGGGAGAUCCCCCACACUGGUACUGCGGCACAGACCAGACUCCUACGCGAGGCAGCAGUAAAGUAGAUUGAGCGAUGGAUGAGGAUCUGAUCCUGCCAUCCCGCGUGAAGAAUGACGGUCCUAUGGAUUGUAAACUUCUUUUGUACAAAGGUAGCCCUACCCUCGUGAGGGUAGCUGACGGUACUGAACGAAUAAGCACCGGCUAACUCCGUG
Molecule: ribosomal RNA, 479 nt
Filed under: uncultured bacterium
Lineage: Bacteria
Description: partial 16S ribosomal RNA
Rfam family: Bacterial small subunit ribosomal RNA
Source: RNAcentral